This 517-nucleotide ribosomal RNA is filed under the name Prosoeca ganglbaueri. RNAcentral describes it as "partial large subunit ribosomal RNA". It matches the Rfam family "Bacterial large subunit ribosomal RNA", at positions 1826 to 2604 of the family's 2925-position model. The record is from RNAcentral. Lineage: Eukaryota; Metazoa; Arthropoda; Insecta; Diptera; Nemestrinidae.
CAUGUCCUUUAGGAUUGAAUUUAAGGUCUAGCCUGCCCACUGAGUUAUUAAAUGGCCGCAGUAUUUUAACUGUGCAAAGGUAGCAUAAUCAUUAGUCUUUUAAUUGAAGGCUUGUAUGAAUGGUUGGACAAGAUAUAUAUUGUUUCAUUUAAAUUAAUAGAAUUUUAUUUUUUAGUUAAAAAGCUGAAAUUUUAUUAAAAGACGAGAAGACCCUAUAGAUCUUUAUAGUUGUUGGGUUUAAUUUAUGAAGAAUGUUUUAUUUUUAAUUUAUUUAACUAUUUUAUUGGGGUGAUAGUAAGAUUUGUUUAACUCUUAUAUGAUUUAAUACAUAAAUUAAUGAUUAGUUGAUCCAGUACUAUUGAUUAUUAAAAUAAGUUACCUUAGGGAUAACAGCGUAAUUUUUUUAGAGAGUUCAUAUCGAUAAAAAAGAUUGCGACCUCGAUGUUGGAUUAAGAGAUAAGUUUGGGCGCAGCCGUUCAAAUUUAAAGUCUGUUCGACUUUUUAAUUCUUACAUGAU